RNAcentral lists this long non-coding RNA (215 nucleotides) under Linum usitatissimum (flax). RNAcentral's name for it is "long non-coding RNA (LUSI_LNC000186)". The record is from RNAcentral. Lineage: Eukaryota; Viridiplantae; Streptophyta; Magnoliopsida; Malpighiales; Linaceae.
GCUGAUAGCAGCUGCAAUAGUCAUAUGAAUUCAGAUGUGGAGGAUCAUGUCACGGAAUUGACUGUUGAAGAGGUGAAGUUUUCGACUUUUUUGUUUUCUGUAAGCUUUCAGUUUGUAGUUUCUAUAUGUUCCCUUUUAAUGUCUGAGUGUAACUGUUUUUUGAAUGCGUUUGUUUGCUUACAUUGUGUUCUAGGCAAAUGCACUGGUGGAUGGGA